AGCUUGCUACUUUUGCCGGCGAGCGGCGGACGGGUGAGUAAUGCCUGGGAAAUUGCCCAGUCGAGGGGGAUAACAAGUUGGAAACGACUGCUAAUACCGCAUACCCCUACGGGGGAAAGCAGGGGACCUUCGGGCCUUGCGCGAUUGGAUAUGCCCAGGUGGGAUUAGCUAGUUGGUGAAGGUAAUGGCUCACCAAGGCGACGAUCCCUAGCUGGUCUGAGAGGAUGAUCAGCCACACUGGAACUGAGACACGGUCCAGACUCCUACGGGAGGCAGCAGUGGGGGAAUAUUGCACAAUGGGGGAAACCCUGAUGCACCCUGCCGCGUGUGUGAAGAAGCCUUCGGGUUGUAAGCACUUUCAGCGAGGAGGAGAGGUCAGUAGCUAUUACCUGCUGGCUGUGACGUUCUCGCAGAAAAGCACCGGCUAACUCCGUGCCAGCAGCCGCGGUGAUACGGAGGUGCAGCGUUAAUCGGAUUACUGGGCGUUAGAGCGCACGCAGCGUUGGAUACUUAGAUGUGAAAGCCCCGGGCUCACCUGGGAUUGCAUUUACACUGUCCGGCUAGAGUCUUGUAGAGGGGGUAGAAAUUCCGGGUGUAGCGUAAAUGCGUAUAGUCUCGAGGAGUACCGGUGCGAAAGCGCCCCCUGGACAAAGACUGACUCUCAGUGCGAAGCGUGGGGAGCCACACGGGAUUAGAUACCCUGGUAGUCCACGCCGUAACUAUUCUAUUGAGGCUGUCUCCUGAGACGUGCCUCCGGA
RNAcentral lists this ribosomal RNA (758 nucleotides) under uncultured bacterium. RNAcentral's name for it is "bacterial SSU rRNA". It matches the Rfam family "Bacterial small subunit ribosomal RNA", at positions 77 to 841 of the family's 1533-position model. The record is from RNAcentral.